GGAAACGACUGCUAAUACCGCAUAAGCGCACGGUAUCGCAUGAUACAGUGUAGAAAAACUCCGGUGGUAUAAGAUGGACCCGCGUCUGAUUAGCUGGUUGGUGAGGUAACGGCCCACCAAGGCGACGAUCAGUAGCCGACCUGAGAGGGUGACCGGCCACAUUGGGACUGAGACACGGCCCAAACUCCUACGGGGAGGCAGCAGGUGGGGAAUAUUGCACAAUGGGGGAAACCCUGAUGCAGCGACGCCGCGUGAGCGAAGAAGUAUUUCGGUAUGUAAAGCUCUAUCAGCAGGGAAGAAAAAAUGACGGUACCUGACUAAGAAGCCCCGGCUAACUACGUG
Molecule: ribosomal RNA, 342 nt
Filed under: uncultured bacterium
Lineage: Bacteria
Description: bacterial SSU rRNA
Rfam family: Bacterial small subunit ribosomal RNA
Source: RNAcentral